RNAcentral lists this ribosomal RNA (253 nucleotides) under uncultured bacterium. RNAcentral describes it as "partial 16S ribosomal RNA". It matches the Rfam family "Bacterial small subunit ribosomal RNA", at positions 524 to 776 of the family's 1533-position model. The record is from RNAcentral.
UACGAGGGGGGCAAGCGUUGUUCGGAAUUAUUGGGCGUAAAGGGUGCGUAGGCGGUUUGACAAGUCAUCUGUGAAAUCUAUGGGCUCAACCCAUAGCCUGCAGGCGAAACUGUCGGGCUUGAGUAUUGGAGAGGUGAGUGGAAUUUCCGGUGUAGCGGUGAAAUGCGUAGAUAUCGGAAGGAACACCUGUGGCGAAAGCGGCUCACUGGACAAUAACUGACGCUGAUGCACGAAAGCUAGGGGAGCAAACAGG